This 1521-nucleotide unclassified non-coding RNA is filed under the name Hevea brasiliensis (rubber tree). The record is from RNAcentral. Lineage: Eukaryota; Viridiplantae; Streptophyta; Magnoliopsida; Malpighiales; Euphorbiaceae.
UUAUUUUUUUUUUUUUUUUUGUUAAUAUACUUUUUAGUUAUUGUUGUCCAAUUAUAACAUUUUGUAUUAAUAUAUUCUGACCUUCUAAUUUGACCCACUAUCCUUUUUUGUUGUUUAAUUAUCUGUUCAAAUUUAAAUGGGAGUUUCAGUAUAUGCACAAUGAUAAUCAUUGUCCAUAAUUCAAGAGUUCAUCAUUUAUAACAUAAAAUCACAUAACACAAUAAGAAUAUUUUGUUCUAUUAUAUAGCAUCAUUCUCAUUAGCUAAAUGAUAAUUCUACAUUUAUCAAAAUGUUGUCAUUGUGAUCAUUUUUUUUACUUGUUUUUUAGAACAUAUAUCAUUUUUAAUUAAUUUUGAGAAAUUUUAUCUAAUCUUAUGAUUUGAUUCGAUCAUCGAUUCUCAAUUCACAAAAUGAAAAUUUUGAUUUCCGAUUUGACAACGAUGGUCAAUGUCUUACUCCUCAUCCUCCGUAUUAUUUUGGGCUUGGCAUUUUUUGUACAGUGCAAUCUUGGUGCAACUUGUUGUAGCUUUGGAGUGUCUUUUGAAUAGAUUCCCAAAACCUAAUCUUCUAUUUGCUACUUUCCUAGCUUGAACUUUAUUUUGCCACACUAAUUUGUGACCCUGAGUUUUAUGCUAACAAAUUGAACCAUUCUAUCCUUGAGCAUAUCUGCUCCAUUCAAAAGAUUGAUCCAACCUGUCAACCUAUUGUGGGUGAUCCUUAAUUCAAGCUAUGUUGAUCUUGUUUCUUUGAUCUCCUCACUGGUUUCUCUAUAUAAAUCAUCCCUUAACCUAUGACAUGUAAGGUCUCUAGGAGUAAAAUCAAUUGCAAAAUCACUCUCAUGAAUGUUACUGUGAUCUUCUGGGCUGUAUUUGCUUGCAGUUGCUGUGAUAAUUUGAAUAAGUUGCUUUUUUCUUGUCAUCAUCAAUAGGCUCAUCAUCAAAAGGCCUGCUGUUGUGUGUCUUUGAAGGAAUUUGGAUUGAGAUUAUUUACCAUGGGAAGAUGUAGCUCUGGACUAGGUGCUUGAUGGCCAAAAAAACCUACCAAAAGUUAACCAAGUGACAGCAAACUUGUACCUGACAAGUAAGAAGCUUAGGAUCCUUGCAGUGCUCUCAACAUGACAACAGUAAAACUUUCUAGAUUAAAAGUGGCAAUGACAAUUUUUAUUAAGCUAUUAUGAUAAAUUAAGUCUUUGGAAGCUACUAAACAAUUGAAAAGGCAUACGCAAGAGUAAAUUGGUAAGUGAUUUUAUGUUGAACUAGAAUUUGGAAGUGUAUAAUUUGUGCAGCACUUCCUUGAUUCAUACUUGUAAAAUAAAAAACAAUCAGCAUACCUGUAGAAAAUGCCAAACUUAAUCAUGAUAACUAAGGUGCAUCAUCUGGUAAAUGAGUCUUGGAUUCAGUUUAAGGCCUUCCAGUACUUUUUCUAAGCCAUAGUAAACUUUUUAACCAUUGUUAAUUUUAUUUUAAGAUUAUUAAAUCUUAAAAACAACUCUGACCAGAUGAUGAUAAAGGUCACCAUGAG